AACUCCAAGGAACGGGUUGUGCUG
Molecule: non-coding RNA, 24 nt
Filed under: Arabidopsis thaliana (thale cress)
Lineage: Eukaryota; Viridiplantae; Streptophyta; Magnoliopsida; Brassicales; Brassicaceae
Source: RNAcentral